GAUGAACGCUGGCGGCGUGCCUAAUACAUGCAAGUCGAGCGAACGGACGAGAAGCUUGCUUCUCUGAUGUUAGCGGCGGACGGGUGAGUAACACGUGGAUAACCUACCUAUAAGACUGGGAUAACUUCGGGACACCGGAGCUAAUACCGGAUGAUAUUUUGCACCACAUGGUUCAAAAGUGAAAGACGGUCUUGCUGUCACUUAUAGAUGGAUCCGCGCUGCAUUAGCUAGUUGGUAAGGUAACGGCUUACCAAGGCAACGAUGCAUAGCCGACCUGAGAGGGUGAUCGGCCACACUGGAACUGAGACACGGUCCAGACUCCUACGGGAGGCAGCAGUAGGGAAUCUUCCGCAAUGGGCGAAAGCCUGACGGAGCAACGCCGCGUGAGUGAUGAAGGUCUUCGGAUCGUAAAACUCUGUUAUUAGGGAAGAACAUAUGUGUAAGUAACUGUGCACAUCUUGACGGUACCUAAUCAGAAAGCCACGGCUAACUACGUG
This 497-nucleotide ribosomal RNA is filed under the name uncultured bacterium. RNAcentral's name for it is "partial 16S ribosomal RNA". It matches the Rfam family "Bacterial small subunit ribosomal RNA", at positions 28 to 507 of the family's 1533-position model. The record is from RNAcentral.